This 633-nucleotide ribosomal RNA is filed under the name Enterococcus faecalis. RNAcentral's name for it is "bacterial SSU rRNA". Lineage: Bacteria; Bacillati; Bacillota; Bacilli; Lactobacillales; Enterococcaceae. The record is from RNAcentral.
AACGCYGGCGGCGUGCCUAAUACAUGCAAGUCGAACGCUUCUUUYCUCCCGAGUGCUUGCACUCAAUUGGAAAGAGGAGUGGCGGACGGGUGAGUAACACGUGGGUAACCUACCCAUCAGAGGGGGAUAACACUUGGAAACAGGUGCUAAUACCGCAUAACAGUUUAUGCCGCAUGGCAUAAGAGUGAAAGGCGCUUUCGGGUGUCGCUGAUGGAUGGACCCGCGGUGCAUUAGCUAGUUGGUGAGGUAACGGCUCACCAAGGCCACGAUGCAUAGCCGACCUGAGAGGGUGAUCGGCCACACUGGGACUGAGACACGGCCCAGACUCCUACGGGAGGCAGCAGUAGGGAAUCUUCGGCAAUGGACGAAAGUCUGACCGAGCAACGCCGCGUGAGUGAAGAAGGUUUUCGGAUCGUAAAACUCUGUUGUUAGAGAAGAACAAGGACGUUAGUAACUGAACGUCCCCUGACGGUAUCUAACCAGAAAGCCACGGCUAACUACGUGCCAGCAGCCGCGGUAAUACGUAGGUGGCAAGCGUUGUCCGGAUUUAUUGGGCGUAAAGCGAGCSCMGGCGGUUUCUUAAGUCUGAUGUGAAAGCCCCCGGCUCAACCGGGGAGGGUCAUGGAAACUGAG